CUAGGGGAAGACGGCGGGCUGUCUGCGUGCCCCUCACAAGGCCAGGAGCCCCGCACGCACGACCCUGCCUACGACGCAGAGUGACCCUGCAAAGCAGGCGGAGCUGGUCCCCAUGAGUGGGACACAGGUGGAGUCAGCAGUGUGAAGCUUCCUGGCUGGCACACGUACCCAUUGUACAGAUGAGAAAGCUGAGGCUCAGAAAGGAGAACUGUUUCCCCCUGAGGCACACACAGACCCACCCUGCUGCUCGUCACUGGUGACCGUGGGCGCGGCCUGACGCCUCCCAGAGCCUCGGCACCGCCGAACACCUGAGGUGGACUCGCAAGGCCCAGUGGUGGCACCCUCGCGCCCGCUCCCCUCCACGUGGCCGGUUACGGCUGCUGAUGGCUUCCGUGUGGAGACCCGCUUUCACUCUCCUGCACUCCCUCCUCUUUCCCUGCGAGCGCCUGCCUCGGGGCACCGGGCCCCUGGCGACCAAAGCAGAGGCUCCCUGGUCCGCUGGGACGUGCCCACGCCUCCCUGUGUGGCUCUUCCUCCUCCGGCAGCGGCUCCUGGGGACGGAAGCGGCCAGAAGGGAAAUGAGGGGGCAGACGCAGCCCCCAGGGAGGGUCUGCGGCUGGGGACCCCACAGACCCAGGCUCAGAUCUUGCAGCCGCCACUCAUCCUCCAGUAGCGGCCAGAGCACCGGUGCCACUCGUCCCCCUUGUCGGCUGGCGCCACCAGCUGUCCCGCAGGAGCGCGAGGGACGGGGGAGACGUCCCCAGCCCUGCAGCCCCCGGCGAGUCCCUGGCUCCCCCUUUGUCCAAGGCCUCGGAAGACCACAGCCAGGCCCGGAGGAGAGCGAGUUCCUGCGGCCGGGUCCUAACUCAGGGGAGAGGAGCUUGUCACUCAGGAAGGGGGGGGGGGGCGGGCACUACCUUGAACCUAAACUCUCCCAGGGCUUGCCGCCUGGGUCCUUUGGAUCAGAAACCUUCUCUGACGGCUUCAGGUGAAAAGGGGUGCGUUGCACUGUUACUGAGAUGUUCCCUGUGGUUAUAAAUUUGUUUUUCAAACUCGGGAAACCCAGUGAAAUGAACUUGAAAGAAUACUUGCUGGCUCCUGUCUCUGAGAGGUCUGGCAGCUGCGUGGGUGUCAGGUGAAGUGUGAUCCAGCCACCUGACGUCCUCAAGGGUCCCAGGGUCCACAGCACCUUCCCCCUCCCCCCCAGGUCUGCGUGCUGCGCCUGCAGAUGGCCACCUAACCCCAGCACACCGUUCAGCCCAGCAUCUGCACCAGCUGGAAUGUUCUCUGUCUCCUGAUUUCCGCCCUCCGGGGAAGGGAGUCUGGUAUCUGGGACCGUCCUGUGCUGAGACCCGAGGGCAUGCAGGUGUGGCCGGCUGUGGGCUGUGGAUGGUCCUGCUGGCUCCAGCGUCUAGAACUAGCCCAGGGCCAGGCACCUGCGCCGGCUCAGUGGAGGCGGGAUGUCUGAGAAGCGGCUGUGGGCAGAUCGGAGACCCCAGAACCUUCCUUGCAAAGUUGGGACUCGGCCACUAAGUCCUCCCUGGCCUAGAGACCCCCGACAAGGCCGUUUUUUGUUCUUAAUUUGUCAUUUUAGGAAAACGUGGAGAUCAGUUCUGGUCAGAAUUCUUAUGCCUGGAUAUUUCUUGUUCGCUCAGGAGGAGAAAUUCAGACGUGGGCUCAGGAAGUGGCUGUGAGCCC
Oryctolagus cuniculus (rabbit) is the source of this 1698-nucleotide non-coding RNA. Lineage: Eukaryota; Metazoa; Chordata; Mammalia; Lagomorpha; Leporidae. The record is from RefSeq and is a predicted model, not a curated record.